Molecule: microRNA precursor, 72 nt
Rfam family: mir-122 microRNA precursor family
About the family: In mammals, miR-122 is enriched in liver cells where it has been implicated as a regulator of fatty-acid metabolism in mouse studies.
UAGAGCUGUGGAGUGUGACAAUGGUGUUUGUGUCCAUCUAUCAAACGCCAUUAUCACACUAAAUAGUUCCUG